UGACGUGUAACAGAGACAUGUAACAGAUGUAAACAACCUCUCCCCCGUGACUUGUAUGUACUGACGUGUAACAGAUACAUGUAACAGAUGUAAACAACCUCUCCCCCGUGACUUGUAUGUACUGACAUGUAACAGAUGUAAACAACCUCUCCCCCGUGACUUGUAUGUACUGACAUGUAACAGAUACAUGUUUUUUUAAAUGUAAAUGUUAAAGUCUUAUGUAAUCUCAUGUGUCGGACCCCAGUAAGACUAGCUGUCAUUGGCUAAUGGAGGAUCCUAAUAAAUCAGGACUAGUCCCAGUUUUUCCAUCUGGGCUACACUUUGAGCCAAUCAUAUUUUAAAGGGGCCAUCAGUCACAACAUCCAUUUUACUUAUGCACCCAUUGAUUCUUGAAGAAUGACUUAUGGUCUUAGUACAACUAUCAUACCCUGGCAGAACCCAAAAUAUAAUGAAAAGUAAAACACGUACACCAACAGUUAAAACUAUUAUUUAUACAUCAUGAUCCCCCCCUACCCUCCGUAUGAAUAAGGGGUUCCUGUCGCCAGCCACAUCCCUCAGCUUUUGACCGAAUCAGGUGUGGAGGACACGGUUUCUACUGCUGAUUGCAACUAAUGGCCUCUGAACAAUAUUUUACAACUCAGAGCCAGACGACUAGUGGGAAAACAAAGGUCAUAAUGUAGAGAAAAUGUAAUGAUUGUUAUAGCACAGUAAAAUAAAGAUGCUUAAGACAUUGGUUUUAGUAGUCAUUUUGUGCAAUAGCAAACAUCAAUGCACUUUGUGUAAGCUUUUGUUGUAGGGCAG
Molecule: long non-coding RNA, 801 nt
Organism: Oncorhynchus tshawytscha (Chinook salmon)
Lineage: Eukaryota; Metazoa; Chordata; Actinopteri; Salmoniformes; Salmonidae
Source: Ensembl